Papaver somniferum (opium poppy) is the source of this 1749-nucleotide long non-coding RNA. RefSeq lists it as uncharacterized. The transcript has 2 exons. The record is from RefSeq and is a predicted model, not a curated record. NCBI's taxonomy places the organism in Eukaryota, Viridiplantae, Streptophyta, Magnoliopsida, Ranunculales, Papaveraceae.
UUCUAUUUCUUUCUCUUUUCUUCUUCUUCUUCUUCUUCUUCUUCUUCUUCUUCUCUUUUCCCUUCUUCUCCUGUUCUUCUUUGUCUGGCGAUUCUGAGAGCUUUGAAUGAUGAAAUUAUGUUACGAGAUUAGGUUAUGAGAUCACAGAUUAGUUGUUGUGAUGGUGAGGUUAUCAGUAGUUGAUUCAGAUUCGAGAGAAGGGGGUGAGUUGGAGAAAGAAACUAGGGUUUAUGAGUAAUGAUUUCAGUUGAGAAUUUGAGUUGUGUUGAGGAUGAAGUUACGCAAUUAGUGAUGAGUAUUAUGAGUUGAUAUCAAGGAAGAAGAUUAACAGUUGAUUUUCAGUUCUCGGAGAAGAAUUAGAAAGUUAGGGUUUCUAUAAUUGAUCGACAAUUCGAUUAAAGGUGAUUAAGGAGAAGUAAGAAGAUGGGUUUGUUUUUAAUUGGUGUUUGAUGAAAGUUGUGGAGUUGUUCUGAAGAUUGAUUAAGAAAUUGCAGAAUUAGGGUUCCUGAUGUUCUUCCCCAAAUUGAAUUAGGGUUUGAGUAGAUAUGAUAGUGAUUUGGAGCAUCAAAUAGAUGAAGUACGAAGGGGUAGUCGGUGGAUUGAUGCUGUGAAGUUGUUUAAAGAAGAAAUUGAAGAUUUAAAUAAUCAGAAACUAGGGUUCUUAGCAGAUUUGGGAAUUAGGGUUCCUGUUUGUAAUUUUAGUUAUGAACUCAAUUUGAAGAAGAUGAAUUCAGUGGUAAGGUUCAAACAAGAGGCGGAUAUAUGAGAUUAUUGUUAUUGUUAUCUCAGUUGUAGUUGUUGAAGGUUGAUCGUGCAGGACAAGAAUGGAGCCUUGAGCAUUACAGAAUAUUGCAUUGGUGAAUGUUGAGAUGAUGGUUGUUGGGCUGAGGUGUAGAGGUAAUUGAGAUGAAGAUAUGUUUGUCUGAGUUGAGAGGAUGAGCAUAAUAUGAAAUGGAUAACUUGAAUUGUAGGUGAAAGUGUGUUAAAAUCUUUUUGUGGUGAAAGAAGUAUGGAAAGAAUGUGAACUGAUAUUGCAGGUGUUGUGAACUGGAUUGGUUGAUAUGGGUAUGGGUUUGGAAGUGAACUGGUGGUGUUAAUGGGUAAACUGUGGAUAGGAAGUUAAAUCUGAAUUGGAGUCUGGUGCUAUUGUUGUUGUAUAUAAUGGUGGAAGUUGUUUGGGAGUGAGCCAGUUGGUGGGCGUAGCUUGGAAUUGCACCACAGUUGGUAGUAAUGAACUGACAUGGGGGUGGUGUUAAUCUGGUGGAGAGGUUUAUGCUGUAUUGUGAGUCUUGGUGGUGAUGUUGUAAUGGUGGCAGUUUUAGUUAUGACAUUGUAGCUGAGCUGUAGGAUAUGGUUUUGGCAGUGUUGUUGAUAGAAAUGACUGUGUUGAUUAGAGUUCAGCUGAAGUAUUCUACAAAGUGGCUGCAAUUGAUGAAUUGUGUAUGUAGGAAGAGUAUGGCUUGGUACUGCAAUGGUAGGUAAUGCUUAAAUUACAAUUGUAUAAUGAAUUAUGGGAUUCUGUUGAAUAAAUGUAUUGUUGAAGUGUAGAUGAGAAGAGGAAUCUGAAUUAGUAUGUUGAAAUGAAUCUCCUCGGUGGAAGCUUGCAACUGCGUUUGCAGGUAAAGCUAAGUUUGUAGUUGAAUUUAAAUCAUGAAGUUUAGUUGAAAUGUAUAUGUCGGUUUGUAGUGAGGAUUAUGGGAAUGUAAAGAUGUAAGAAGCUUUGGUUUGUUCUUUGGCUCAGUCCUGAAA